This 715-nucleotide long non-coding RNA is filed under the name Marmota monax (woodchuck). The record is from RNAcentral. Lineage: Eukaryota; Metazoa; Chordata; Mammalia; Rodentia; Sciuridae.
GGGGGUUCAAGGUAACACUUAAGUGUUAAGUAUACAGAGAGGGAGGACUGGGGGCUGGGAGGACCAUAAAGGAACUGCCUUGAGUUUGGUUAACUCUAGCCAUUUCCCUGGUCACUUAGCCAGGGACUCUACCCAAGGAGGAAGGGCUGGAGCCAUCUUUUGCACCUUACCUACUGCUCCAGGUGCCAGCCCCUCCUUACAUGGGCUAUUUAUGCCUCUGGAGUCCUGGAAGGAAUGUUAGUAUUAAUACUACAAACAGGGAAAUGUAAGAGCUUGAGGGUUAUGUAACUUAUGACAAAAAGCAGAAUGGAGUCCGUUAAACUUUUGCCCUAUCACCAUGCCUUGGCUCAUCUUAACAUCUGAAGUCCUCAACUCAAGAACGCUGCUGUCUUGGGGCCCGACAGACUGAUGCAGUGAUAUCAGUCAGUGCUAGACUCUUUGCUAGGUACUCUCAAGCAUUCAGCUUAGAACUCCACAGCAACCCCACCAAGGAGGGACUUGGGUUUUUUCCAUGUUUCAGAGUGGGAAACAGGCACAGGACUCAAUCAUGUGCCCAAGGGAUUGAAACCAGGCCAUCUACUAAACCUGCCCUAGAUGGUCUCUGAACUGGCCUGGCGGUCAACAAACUAGCCAUUCGUGAGAACGGGUAUUAGUCCAGUGGAAUACCCAUGUUAAGUCUCCAUAUUUAGAUUUGGAGAGGACAGCAGUUUCCUUG